GAUGAACGCUGGCGGCGUGCCUAAUACAUGCAAGUCGAGCGAACAGACGAGGAGCUUGCUCCUCUGACGUUAGCGGCGGACGGGUGAGUAACACGUGGAUAACCUACCUAUAAGACUGGGAUAACUUCGGGAAACCGGAGCUAAUACCGGAUAAUAUAUUGAACCGCAUGGUUCAAUAGUGAAAGACGGUUUUGCUGUCACUUAUAGAUGGAUCCGCGCCGCAUUAGCUAGUUGGUAAGGUAACGGCUUACCAAGGCAACGAUGCGUAGCCGACCUGAGAGGGUGAGCGGCCACACGGGAACUGAGACACGGCCAAGACUCCGAGGGGGGGAAGCAGUAGGGAAUCUUCCGCAAGGGGGGAGAGCCGGAUGGGGAACCGCGGGGUGAGGGAUGAAGGUCUUCGGAUGGGAAACUUCUGUUAUUAGGAAAGAAAAAAUGUGUAAGUAACUAUGACCGUCUUGACGGUACCUAAUAAAAAAGCCCCGGCUAACUACGUG
Molecule: ribosomal RNA, 497 nt
Filed under: uncultured bacterium
Lineage: Bacteria
Description: partial 16S ribosomal RNA
Rfam family: Bacterial small subunit ribosomal RNA
Source: RNAcentral